UGUGUGUGUGUGGGUGUGUGUGGGUGUGCGCGCGCGCGCACCCACGCACGCACCCACGCACGCACACG
This 68-nucleotide microRNA precursor is filed under the name Marmota monax (woodchuck). Lineage: Eukaryota; Metazoa; Chordata; Mammalia; Rodentia; Sciuridae. The record is from RNAcentral.